AGGAAAGAGCUUUUCAAAUUUCUAAUCCAAAUAGGAACAUAAGUGAGGGUAUAACUUAAUCUCAGCCUUCCAUUCCAAUCAUCUCUCUAAAUUUCCUUGUCCAGUUGAAGGUCACAGACGCUUGACGUUUGGAAGACCAUAUUCUUCUCACUAGAAUCUGAAAGGGACUGUGAAGGGGUUCGCUUGGCUUCUUUUUUUAUAAUUUCUGAUUCUGUGUUGUUCCAAGUUAGUGCCAUGGUAUGUUGUUUGAUUUUUCUGGAAUUGAUUU
Molecule: long non-coding RNA, 268 nt
Filed under: Ricinus communis (castor bean)
Lineage: Eukaryota; Viridiplantae; Streptophyta; Magnoliopsida; Malpighiales; Euphorbiaceae
Description: long non-coding RNA (RCOM_LNC001107)
Source: RNAcentral